UACCUGCAGCCCAAGUGGUGGUCGAUUUUAUUGAGUCUAAAACGUUCGUAGCCGAUUUGGUAAAUCUUUGGGUAAAUCGGGAGGCUCAACUUUCCGACUUCCGAAGAGACUGUCAAACUUGGGACCGGGAGAGGCUAGAGGUGCUUCUGGGGUAGGGGUAAAAUCCUGUAAUCCUAGAAGGACCACCGGUGGCGAAGGCGUCUAGCUAGAACGGAUCCGACGGUGAGGGACGAAGCCCUGGGUCGCAAACGGGAUUAGAUACCCCGGUAGUCCAGGGUGUAAACGCUGCCGACUUGGUGUUGGAGGCCCUUCGGGGGCAUUCAGUGCCGGAGAGAAGUUGUUAAGUCGGCUACUUGGGGAGUACGUCCGCAAGGAUGAAACUUAAA
Molecule: ribosomal RNA, 386 nt
Filed under: uncultured methanogenic archaeon
Lineage: Archaea; Methanobacteriati; Methanobacteriota
Description: bacterial SSU rRNA
Rfam family: Archaeal small subunit ribosomal RNA
Source: RNAcentral